Molecule: ribosomal RNA, 449 nt
Filed under: uncultured bacterium
Lineage: Bacteria
Description: partial 16S ribosomal RNA
Rfam family: Bacterial small subunit ribosomal RNA
Source: RNAcentral
AAUGAACGCUGGCGGCAGGCUUAACACAUGCAAGUCGAACGGACCCUUCGGGGUUAGUGGCGGACGGGUGAGUAAAGUGUGGGAACGUGCCCUUUGGUUCGGAACAGACUCGGGAAACCGGGAGUAAUACCGGAUAAGCCCUACGGGGGAAAGAUUUAUCGCCAAAGGAUCGGCCCGCGUUGGAUUAGGUAGUUGGUGGGGUAAUGGCCUACCAAGCCGACGAUCCAUAGCUGGUUUGAUACGAUUAUCAGCCAAACUGGGACUGAGACACGGCCCAGACUCCUACGGGAGGCAGCAGUUGGGAAUCUUAUACAAUGGGGUAAACCCUGAUCUAGCCAUGCCGCGUGAUCGAUGAAGGCCUUAGGGUUGUAAAGAUCUUUCAGUUGGGAAGAUAAUGACGGUACCAACAGAAGAAGCCCCGGCUAACUCCGUGCCAGCCGCCGCAGUAA